RNAcentral lists this ribosomal RNA (253 nucleotides) under uncultured bacterium. RNAcentral describes it as "partial 16S ribosomal RNA". It matches the Rfam family "Bacterial small subunit ribosomal RNA", at positions 524 to 776 of the family's 1533-position model. The record is from RNAcentral.
UACGUAGGGUGCAAGCGUUGUCCGGAAUUAUUGGGCGUAAAGAGCUCGUAGGCGGUUUGUCGCGUCGAAUGUGAAAACCCGGGGCUCAACCCCGGGCCUGCAUUCGAUACGGGCAGACUAGAGUUCGGUAGGGGAGUCUGGAAUUCCUGGUGUAGCGGUGAAAUGCGCAGAUAUCAGGAGGAACACCGGUGGCGAAGGCGGGACUCUGGGCAUUAACUGACGCUGAGGAGCGAAAGCAUGGGGAGCGAACAGG